Molecule: non-coding RNA, 72 nt
Organism: Cladorrhinum sp. PSN259
Lineage: Eukaryota; Fungi; Ascomycota; Sordariomycetes; Sordariales; Podosporaceae
Source: the annotation of a GenBank genome assembly
GGUCCGCUGGCGUAAUGGCAGCGCGUCUGACUACGAAUCAGGAGGUUCCAGGUUCGACCCCUGGGCGGAUCG